CCCGCGGUAACUCAGUUUGGUAGAGUGGUCGGCUGUAGACCGACAGGAUCGUCUAAAAGGCGAUCCCGGGAUAUGUCGCCGGUUCAAAUCCGGCCCGCGGGACCA
Molecule: transfer RNA, 105 nt
Filed under: Hadesarchaea archaeon
Lineage: Archaea; Methanobacteriati; Hadarchaeota (SeqCode); Hadarchaeia (SeqCode)
Description: tRNA-Tyr
Rfam family: tRNA
About the family: Transfer RNA (tRNA) molecules are approximately 80 nucleotides in length. Their secondary structure includes four short double-helical elements and three loops (D, anti-codon, and T loops).
Source: RNAcentral